AACUUUGCUUCCCUUCCCUGGCUUGAGCUUUGGACUUUCUGUUUUACUUCCUGAUCACUGUUCCCUAUUCCUUGCUAAUCUGCUUUUCCUCUGCUGCCCGAUGUCUUGCAGUCCUCCUCUUUGCUAGCAGCUCGGCAGGCUUCCACUGAAGUACCUACUGCUGCAGACCUUGUCAAUGCAAUAGAAAAGUUGGUCAAAAACAAGCUGAGUCUAGAAGGAGGCUCAUACCGGGGGAGCUUGAAAGACCCUGCAGGCUGCCUGAAUGAGGGGAUGGCCCCACCCACACCUCCUAGAAACCCGGAAGAAGAACAGAAAGCCAAGGCCCUGAGAGGCAGGAUGUUUGUCCUGAAUGAGCUGGUACAGACAGAGAAAGACUAUGUCAAGGAUCUGGGCAUUGUGGUGGAGGGCUUCAUGAAGAGAAUAGAAGAAAAGGGUGUCCCUGAGGAUAUGCGAGGAAAGGACAAAAUCGUGUUUGGAAAUAUUCAUCAGAUUUAUGACUGGCAUAAGGAUUUUUUCCUGGCGGAACUGGAAAAGUGUAUCCAGGAGCAAGACAGAUUGGCACAGCUCUUUAUUAAGCAUGAGCGGAAGCUGCACAUCUACGUGUGGUAUUGUCAGAAUAAGCCGCGCUCAGAGUACAUCGUUGCUGAGUAUGAUGCCUACUUUGAGGAGGUAAAACAGGAGAUAAAUCAGAGGCUGACACUGAGUGACUUCCUCAUAAAGCCCAUUCAGAGAAUAACAAAAUACCAGUUGCUCCUCAAGGACUUCCUGAGAUACAGUGAGAAGGCUGGUUUGGAGUGUUCAGAUAUCGAGAAAGCAGUGGAGUUAAUGUGCCUUGUUCCCAAACGCUGCAAUGACAUGAUGAAUCUAGGACGUCUGCAGGGCUUUGAGGGCACCCUGACUGCUCAGGGGAAGCUGCUGCAGCAGGACACAUUCUAUGUGAUCGAGCUGGAUGCGGGCAUGCAGUCCCGGACCAAAGAGAGGCGCGUGUUCCUCUUCGAGCAGAUUGUCAUCUUCAGUGAACUGCUCAGGAAGGGAUCCCUCACCCCUGGCUACAUGUUCAAAAGGAGCAUCAAGAUGAAUUACUUGGUCCUGGAGGAGAAUGUGGACAAUGAUCCCUGCAAGUUUGCACUCAUGAACAGGGAGACUUCUGAGAGGGUCAUUCUGCAAGCCGCCAACGCUGACAUCCAGCAGGCCUGGGUGCAGGACAUCAAUCAAGUCUUAGAAACACAGCGAGACUUUUUGAAUGCACUGCAAUCGCCCAUUGAGUAUCAACGGAAAGAAAGGAGCACAGCCGUGAUGAGGUCUCAACCUGCCAGGCUUCCCCAAGCCAGCCCCAGGCCCUACUCCUCUGUUCCUGUGGGCUCAGAGAAGCCCCCAAAGGGCUCCAGCUAUAACCCACCUCUGCCUCCCCUGAAGAUAUCUACCUCCAAUGGCAGUCCAGGGUUUGAAUACCACCAGCCUGGGGACAAGUUUGAAGCCAGCAAGAACGACCUGGGAGGCUGCAAUGGGACCUCGUCCAUGGCCGUGAUCAAAGAUUACUAUGCACUGAAGGAGAAUGAAAUCUGUGUGAGCCAAGGUGAGGUGGUCCAGGUCCUCGCCGUCAACCAGCAGAACAUGUGUCUGGUGUACCAGCCUGCCAGCGACCAUUCCCCUGCCGCCGAGGGCUGGGUCCCAGGCAGCAUCCUGGCGCCCCUCACCAAAGCCACAGCAGCAGAAAGUAGUGACGGGAGCAUCAAGUAAGUGCCUCGUUGGCUUCCCCGGGAGAGGAGUAUGAGGAUUAAAAAUAUUCAGAAACAAACAAAGGAACACAAAAAUGCAAACACACAGUAGGGAAUUACUGCUGCUUAUUCUCAACAGUGCCACGGAACCAGUGUUUGAGUGCUGGCACCAUAUGCAGCAUGGGGCAUCCAGGCUGGAGUGGUCCAGUUUUUUUGUUGGUGGUGGUGAUGAUUUUUCUUUCCUUUUGGUUUAUAAUUUUCUGUUCAUUUUUCCCCCUUUUCCCCCCCAUUCAUUAAGAACCCUGCUGAAACCCUAGGUGACAAAAGGUGUGCUUUCUGUUGCCACAUUUGACCCACCACA
This 2079-nucleotide small RNA is filed under the name Pongo abelii (Sumatran orangutan). Its description in RNAcentral is "retained intron". The record is from RNAcentral. Lineage: Eukaryota; Metazoa; Chordata; Mammalia; Primates; Hominidae.